GAAAUGCGAUACUUGGUGUGAAUUGCAGAAUCCCGUGAACCAUCGAGUCUUUGAACGCAAGUUGCGCCCGAAGCCAAUAGGCCGAGGGCACGUCUGCCUGGGUGUCACACAUUUGCUUGCCCUCAAACACUCACUCCUUGAUGAGGGGUGUUGGUUUUUGGGCGGAAAUUGGCCUCUCGUGCCGUGUUGUGCGGUUGGCGCAAAAGCGAGUCUCCGGCGACGGACGUCGUGACAUCGGUGGUUGUAAAAGGCCCUCUUGUUUUGUCGCACGUAAUUGUGUCAUCUAAGGAGCUCGAGGACCCUGAGGCGCUACACAAUUUGUUCGCCUUAACUGUGACCCCAGGUCAGGCGGGACUACCCGCUGAGUUUAA
Molecule: unclassified non-coding RNA, 371 nt
Filed under: uncultured fungus
Lineage: Eukaryota; Fungi
Description: sequence contains ITS1
Rfam family: 5.8S ribosomal RNA (bases 1-107)
Source: RNAcentral